RNAcentral lists this transfer RNA (84 nucleotides) under Gordonia phage Syleon. RNAcentral's name for it is "tRNA-Leu". It matches the Rfam family "tRNA". Rfam says of the family: Transfer RNA (tRNA) molecules are approximately 80 nucleotides in length. Their secondary structure includes four short double-helical elements and three loops (D, anti-codon, and T loops). Lineage: Duplodnaviria; Heunggongvirae; Uroviricota; Caudoviricetes. RNAcentral also lists the same sequence under 2 other names. The record is from RNAcentral.
GGGCUUAUGGCGGAAUUGGCAGACGCGCCGGAUUCAAAAUCCGGUACUCAUUGAGUGUGUGGGUUCGAGUCCCACUAAGCCCAC